RNAcentral lists this ribosomal RNA (463 nucleotides) under uncultured Klebsiella sp. RNAcentral describes it as "bacterial SSU rRNA". It matches the Rfam family "Bacterial small subunit ribosomal RNA", at positions 338 to 795 of the family's 1533-position model. Lineage: Bacteria; Pseudomonadati; Pseudomonadota; Gammaproteobacteria; Enterobacterales; Enterobacteriaceae. The record is from RNAcentral.
CCUACGGGGGGCUGCAGUGGGGAAUAUUGCACAAUGGGCGCAAGCCUGAUGCAGCCAUGCCGCGUGUGAAGAAGGCCUUCGGGUUGUAAAGCACUUUCAGCGGGGGGGAAGGCGGUGAGGUUAAUAACCUCAUCGAUUGACGUUACCCGCAGAAGAAGCACCGGCUAACUCCGUGCCAGCAGCCGCGGUAAUACGGAGGGUGCAAGCGUUAAUCGGAAUUACUGGGCGUAAAGCGCACGCAGGCGGUCUGUCAAGUCGGAUGUGAAAUCCCCGGGCUCAACCUGGGAACUGCAUUCGAAACUGGCAGGCUAGAGUCUGGUAGAGGGGGGUAGAAUUCCAGGUGUAGCGGUGAAAUGCGUAGAGAUCUGGAGGAAUACCGGUGGCGAAGGCGGCCCCCUGGACAAAGACUGACGCUCAGGUGCGAAAGCGUGGGGAGCAAACAGGAUUAGAUACCCGAGUAGUC